RNAcentral lists this ribosomal RNA (447 nucleotides) under uncultured bacterium. RNAcentral describes it as "bacterial SSU rRNA". It matches the Rfam family "Bacterial small subunit ribosomal RNA", at positions 355 to 825 of the family's 1533-position model. The record is from RNAcentral.
UCGAGAAUUUUGGGCAAUGGGCGAAAGCCUGACCCAGCAACGCCGCGUGAAGGAUGAAGUAUUUCGGUAUGUAAACUUCGUAAGAAUAGGAAGAAUAAAUGACGGUACUAUUUGUAAGGUCCGGCUAACUACGUGCCAGCAGCCGCGGUAAUACGUAGGGACCAAGCGUUGUUCGGAUUUACUGGGCGUAAAGGGCGCGUAGGCGGUGUGUCAAGUCAGUUGUGAAAUCUCCGAGCUUAACUCGGAACGGUCAACUGAUACUGUCACACUAGAGUACAGAAGGGGCAAUCGGAAUUCUUGGUGUAGCGGUGAAAUGCGUAGAUAUCAAGAGGAACACCUGAGGCGAAGGCGGGUUGCUGGGCUGAUACUGACGCUGAGGCGCGAAAGCUAGGGUAGCAAACGGGAUUAGAUACCCCCGUAGUCCCUGAGCGGGCUGGCAAGGCGCAU